This 253-nucleotide ribosomal RNA is filed under the name uncultured bacterium. Its description in RNAcentral is "partial 16S ribosomal RNA". It matches the Rfam family "Bacterial small subunit ribosomal RNA", at positions 524 to 776 of the family's 1533-position model. The record is from RNAcentral.
UACGAAGGGGGCUAGCGUUGUUCGGAAUCACUGGGCGUAAAGGGGGCGUAGGCGGGGAGGUAAGUCGGGUGUGAAAUCCCUCGGCCCAACCGAGGAACUGCGCCCGAGACUGCUUCUCUUGAGUCCCGGAGAGGAAGAUGGAAUUCCCGGUGUAGCGGUGAAAUGUGUAGAGAUCGGGAGGAACACCGGUGGCGAAGGCGGUCUUCUGGACGGUGACUGACGCUGAGGCGCGAAAGCGUGGGGAGCAAACGGG